GAAGCUGGCCAGACAGCCGCUGCGUAUUCCCCCGGGGAAUGCGGAGAGGAAAGUCCGGGCUCCAUAGGGUAGGGUGACGGCUAACGGCCGUCCGCCGUGAGGCGAGGAACAGGGCCACAGAGACGAGUCCGCCGGAGUGCUUCCGCACUGUGCCGCUGCAAGGCGGCACAGUCGCGCGGACACCGGCGGGGUGAAACGCGGCAACCUCCACCUGGAGCAACACCAAGUAGGCAAGCGAUGACGCGACCCGCCGAGCUUGCGGGUAGGUGGCUUGAGCCUUGGAGCAAUCCAGGGCCUAGAGGAAUGGCUGUCGGGAGCUUUCCGGCUCCUACAGAACCCGGCUUAUCGGCCAGCUUCGACU
This 361-nucleotide RNase P RNA is filed under the name Betaproteobacteria bacterium. RNAcentral describes it as "RNase P RNA component class A". It matches the Rfam family "Bacterial RNase P class A". Rfam says of the family: Ribonuclease P (RNase P) is a ubiquitous endoribonuclease, found in archaea, bacteria and eukarya as well as chloroplasts and mitochondria. Its best characterised activity is the generation of mature 5'-ends of tRNAs by cleaving the 5'-leader elements of precursor-tRNAs. Cellular RNase Ps are ribonucleoproteins. The record is from RNAcentral. Lineage: Bacteria; Pseudomonadati; Pseudomonadota; Betaproteobacteria.